UGUGUGUGCACGGGCGCGUGGCUAGGCGGGCGGGCACACACUCGCACACGCACUCGCACACACAUGCUUGUGCCCCUCCCACUCCCUCUCCUGCUGCGGGGGGGCUGGCAGGGAGACAGCCCCAGUUCUAACUGGAACUGGCCGCCUGUCCUUCUAACAAGGGCAUAAACUUUCAUUACCCAUGCACGCAGUCAAAGACAAUUUAGGGAAACGCGCUGCUCGGAAAAGGAAAACCUCAGCGAUUCGUGACCUACGCCGCCGCCGCCAUCUGGGGGGCUCUCGUCUCCAGCUCCAGGGAGUUGGGGCCCUGAACCUCUGGCCCUGCCCACCGCGGGGUGGGGGGCCUCAGGGCAGCCGGCAGAGGGAGGGCAGAGGGAGGGCAGGGGCCCUGCCCUGGCUGGCCGAGAGCACCCGGGCGGGCCAGCCAGGGGACAGGCCCCCUCGUGCUCUCCCCCCACACCCCCUCACUAGCCCCACCGGCCACGGGCCCUUGAGGGCAGGCACAGGGCUCGUGCCUUUCUGACACCCAGUGCUGGCACAGAGCAGAAGCUCGGCUCUGCAGAUGAAUGGACGGACGGUUGGAUGGAAGGACUGAGCGAAGACACAGUUAGGAAACCAGGCCCAGAUGCCCUCAGGCCCCAGCAGGACACCGGCGAUGCUGGGGAAGGCUCCCUCUCCAGCCCCUCCUCCUGAUGGGCAGCAGAGGGGACGAUCCUGCAGCCUCCGCCGCCUUGCCGUCUGGGGACAGUGCCUGCCCCCCCACCCCUGUACCACGCUCGGGCACCGGGACUGUGGCAGCUUCCAGAUCAGACAAAUCGACACGAGGAACUCGGUCCUCUAACAGCUCGCCACUUGUAAGAACCUAGUUAGGUCUGUGCCCGGGCCUCGGUGUCCUCGUCUGAAACAGGACUGCUGAAAGAAUGGCGUCGAGGGACGUGUCUGCAGGGAACAAGUGGGGCCUGCCCAGACAGCAACUGUGGGCGGGGAGGGGGAAGGCGCUUCCUCCGGGACCAGAGUCCAGCCUCCCCGAGAUCUAGGAUCUCCCUAGAUCUCCCACAGCCCCGCUCUCUCCUUGGGCCAUCAGCUGUCCGGGUGACUGAGACCCGAAUGCCCGCGCCUGUGCCCUCGCCCCAGAGCAUCUCCUGGGAGGCGUCCCUGGCCCCGGUGAGCCUGACCCUCGGCAGAGCAGAAGCGCGCCUCCGUGGCCUUGGGGGCAGCAGCCAGACAGCACCCCUGCAGUAGCCGGGCCACCCCAGCCCGCGGUGGGGACCCAAGGGGAGCCCACCCUCCCCUUCUUCUGUGUUCAGAUCCCCACCCCACCCCCCAAACUGUCAUUAAAAUAACAAGUUUCUGUUACAA
Molecule: long non-coding RNA, 1359 nt
Organism: Canis lupus familiaris (dog)
Lineage: Eukaryota; Metazoa; Chordata; Mammalia; Carnivora; Canidae
Exons: 2
Source: RefSeq, a predicted model, not a curated record